CCUUUGGUUGCACAAAUCAGAUCAACCUACAGGAAAGAAAAACUGAAGCAUAGAGAACUCACUACGAAGAGAAGAUCAGCUUUCUGCAACCAAGUUGUGCUCCUGGGCUUGAGAUCAGUGUCCAAUGGGCCGACCUCUUCAAAGUUUCCAAACCCAACUCCUGAAGCUCCCUUUUCAAAGACGAUCAGGAUUCAGGCCACCCUGCAACCAGAGCACAGUUGGCCAUGGCGUCGACCCGUUAUCAAUCCGCUGUGGACUCUGGUACAGCCACCAG
Molecule: long non-coding RNA, 274 nt
Organism: Asparagus officinalis (garden asparagus)
Lineage: Eukaryota; Viridiplantae; Streptophyta; Magnoliopsida; Asparagales; Asparagaceae
Exons: 3
Source: RefSeq, a predicted model, not a curated record